This 374-nucleotide ribosomal RNA is filed under the name uncultured prokaryote. RNAcentral describes it as "bacterial SSU rRNA". It matches the Rfam family "Bacterial small subunit ribosomal RNA", at positions 524 to 896 of the family's 1533-position model. The record is from RNAcentral.
UACGGAGGGUGCAAGCGUUAAUCGGAAUUACUGGGCGUAAAGGGUGCGUAGGCGGUAAAGUAAGUUAUCUGUGAAAUCCCUGGGCUUAACCUGGGUAGGAAAGAUGAUACUGCUUAACUAGAGUGUGAUAGAGGAUAGUGGAAUUUCCGGUGUAGCGGUGAAAUGCGUAGAGAUCGGAAGGAACACCAGUGGCGAAGGCGGCUAUCUGGAUCAACACUGACGCUGAGGCACGAAAGCGUGGGGAGCAAACAGGAUUAGAUACCCUGGUAGUCCACGCCGUAAACGAUGUCAACUUGCUGUUGGGUACAUUAAAGUAUUUAGUAGCGAAGCUAACGCGAUAAGUUGACCGCCUGGGGAGUACGGUCGCAAGAUUA